Molecule: long non-coding RNA, 623 nt
Filed under: Mus pahari (shrew mouse)
Lineage: Eukaryota; Metazoa; Chordata; Mammalia; Rodentia; Muridae
Description: predicted gene 14715 (MGP_PahariEiJ_G0006490.1)
Source: RNAcentral
AAAACAAACAAAAAAAAUCAAUCCUGCCCAGUAAUCCCCGUAUCUGAAAGUCAAGGUAAAAGGAUGAUUUGAGCACUUAACUUUGAAACAAAUCUGGGUACCAGAGGAAAUUGAAGUCCUGGGAUGAGGUGCAAACCAUUAAAAUGUCAAAUUAGGUUCAGGGGAACUGAUCAGGAGACAAAAUCAUCUGCCCGUGGCAAGCAAAGUUUCACAAGAAUCCUGUCUGAUGGCUCCCCGGAGUUCCUACUCUCAGAAGGACAAGACGGCCUUACUAAUGAUUGCCACUGACUCCCAGAUCUCAUCCUCCUUGAUCACAGGUGGAGAGGCAAACCUGAUGAUAUCGCAGUGAGUUGACUUGGCCAGAGGCCCAUUAUCUCGGAGAUACAGGCACAACCUUCCAAGUAUCACAGUCUUUGGUUUCUCUGAUGACGAUGGCAUUUAGCUCUCUCACAGCAGUCACAAGGUCAGAGGGCAGCUUCGUGAGCUCCUUUCUCAAGACAGCGCCCAUCUUGCAAGAUUAUCUUCUUCUAAAACCUGAAGAGCCACAAUGGCAAUUUGGCUGCCUAGUGGGUUGCCGCCGUAUGUAGAGCCAUGCUCGCCUGGCUUAAUGGUCAGCGUUAUUU